GCCUCACCAAUUCUCCUACAGUUCUCUUCCCCAUCCUGGGGCCCACUAAACGGGAAGCUCAAACCGGGUCGACCGGGGUCCAAACCAGUCAAAUUACAAAGGAAAAUCGGCGGGCACCUGGUACGCGAGAAUUUCGAAGCCUGCAUCACCGGCGGGUGGAUAAUGGCUAACUUAAUAUCGCAACUCCGAAACCCGGCGUCGCCAAACACCCGACUCACAAUCGGAUCAUCCAAAAUGGAUAAAAG
This 245-nucleotide unclassified non-coding RNA is filed under the name Hevea brasiliensis (rubber tree). Lineage: Eukaryota; Viridiplantae; Streptophyta; Magnoliopsida; Malpighiales; Euphorbiaceae. The record is from RNAcentral.